UCUUUAGACCCUUGCAAUUAUCAUUUAAGACAACGCCCCAGGGUGGGAACACAGCAAGGCACCUUACUUGAUGGUGUGCUUGGGUAUCUGGAGAAGA
RNAcentral lists this signal recognition particle RNA (97 nucleotides) under Malaciobacter halophilus. RNAcentral's name for it is "Arcobacter halophilus Bacterial small signal recognition particle RNA". It matches the Rfam family "Bacterial small signal recognition particle RNA". Rfam says of the family: The signal recognition particle (SRP) is a universally conserved ribonucleoprotein involved in the co-translational targeting of proteins to membranes. The record is from Rfam by way of RNAcentral. Lineage: Bacteria; Pseudomonadati; Campylobacterota; Epsilonproteobacteria; Campylobacterales; Arcobacteraceae.